Molecule: ribosomal RNA, 465 nt
Filed under: uncultured Klebsiella sp.
Lineage: Bacteria; Pseudomonadati; Pseudomonadota; Gammaproteobacteria; Enterobacterales; Enterobacteriaceae
Description: bacterial SSU rRNA
Rfam family: Bacterial small subunit ribosomal RNA
Source: RNAcentral
CCUACGGGUGGCUGCAGUGGGGAAUAUUGCACAAUGGGCGCAAGCCUGAUGCAGCCAUGCCGCGUGUGUGAAGAAGGCCUUCAGGUUGUAAAGCACUUUCAGCGGGGAGGAAGGCGUUAAGGUUAAUAACCUUGGCGAUUGACGUUACCCGCAGAAGAAGCACCGGCUAACUCCGUGCCAGCAGCCGCGGUAAUACGGAGGGUGCAAGCGUUAAUCGGAAUUACUGGGCGUAAAGCGCACGCAGGCGGUCUGUCAAGUCGGAUGUGAAAUCCCCGGGCUCAACCUGGGAACUGCAUUCGAAACUGGCAGGCUAGAGUCUUGUAGAGGGGGGUAGAAUUCCAGGUGUAGCGGUGAAAUGCGUAGAGAUCUGGAGGAAUACCGGUGGCGAAGGCGGCCCCCUGGACAAAGACUGACGCUCAGGUGCGAAAGCGUGGGGAGCAAACAGGAUUAGAUACCCUUGUAGUC